This 440-nucleotide ribosomal RNA is filed under the name uncultured bacterium. RNAcentral describes it as "partial 16S ribosomal RNA". It matches the Rfam family "Bacterial small subunit ribosomal RNA", at positions 338 to 795 of the family's 1533-position model. The record is from RNAcentral.
CCUACGGGUGGCAGCAGUGGGGGAUAUUGCACAAUGGGGGAAACCCUGAUGCAGCGACGCCGCGUGUGGGAAGACGGUCCUCUGGAUUGUAAACCACUGUCCCCAGGGACGAAGAUGACGGUACCUGGGGACGAAGCUCCGGCUCACUACGUGCCCGCAGCCGCGGUAAUACGUAGGGAGCGAGCGUUGUCCGGAGUUACUGGGUGUAAAGGGAGCGUAGGCGGGGAUGCAAGUUGGCGGUCAAAACUACCGGCUCAACUGGUAGUCGCACUCAAAACUGCAGCGCUUGAGUGAAGUAGAGGCAGGCGGAAUUCCUGGUGUAGCGGUGAAAUGCGUAGAUAUUAGGAAGAACUCCAGUGGCGAAGGCGGCCUGCUGGGCUGUUACUGACGCUGAGGCUCGAAAGUGUGGGGAGCAAACAGGAUUAGAUACCCCAGUAGUC